GGAAUUGCACACCGCAAAGCCUUGGAAGGCUGUGUUGUCGAAGGCUUUCAUGGCAGGAAUUACUGGUUUGCUUUGAGUUUUCCGGGCUGUAUGGCCAUGUUUCAGAAGCACUCUCUCCUGACGUUUCGCCCAUAUCUUAUGGCAGGCAACCUCAGAGGUUGUGAGGUAACAAGGACAUUUGCACUACAGUGAACAAACAGAACUCAGAGAAUGCAGUUGAACAUUCCUCCAUAACCCAGAUAAGCAUGACACUUUUAUCUUCUAGCAGGAUGACCAACUUCAUUAAUCGUCAGAUGGAGGGCCAUCGAAGAAAUGAGUUUCACUAUUAUGUGAGGAGUCUUUGCCCAGGACUAAAUUGUAUUGCUGAGUAUUAAAUGAGCACUUCACAGCCAUCUUAAGAAAAAACAAAUAUUUAAUCAACAAAGUCUACUGAUCAACAAGUUUCACUGAAGUAUUUUCUUCAUUCUCAAAAACUAAAACUUAACUAGAGUAUUUUUGUAGACAACUUUGUCAAUACAUAUGUCAAUACCCAAAACAGUCCAAGAAAAUGUUUUGCAUUUUGUGUUCAUAUAUUAAGAAUGUACAAACAAAAGAAAUUUGUCACAUAUUGCCUAGAUACAGAACAUGUAGAAAUAUAGAAUCAUGAAGUGACACUUUGAUACCACACUGCCCAUAUUUCAUCAACUGUAGCUAAAUACACAUGAUAAAGAAAUUAAUUUGCAAGAGUUUUUAAAAAAUUGUGCAAUUAUUGAAACAAUGUCAUUAUAGUAUACUGCUGUACACUGGUGAGAUUUAUCUUUUUUUGAUCUCAAUCUUUUAAAAAGAACCCCCCCC
Long non-coding RNA from Anolis carolinensis (green anole), 834 nucleotides. RefSeq lists it as uncharacterized. The record is from RefSeq and is a predicted model, not a curated record. The transcript has 2 exons. Lineage: Eukaryota; Metazoa; Chordata; Lepidosauria; Squamata; Anolidae.